CAUUGUCACUGAAGAAACAGCUGAUGUCGGCUUACAAUCUGGAGUCCAUCAAGGCUGUUGCAUGGGGUAUCACUCAUGAAGAUGAUGCUUUGAGAAAGUAUGAAAAAGGACUUUGAUGCAGCUGUAGAGCAGUCAGGAUAUGGUUGCAUGAAUCUGGAGUGUUGGGAGCUUCACCUGAUGGCUUAGUUGUUCGACCACCAACAUGCAGUGUAUUUUAUCAAACUCCAGAAGCCAAAGACGCCAUUCCUGAUAUUGUAGAGGUGAAGUGUCCAUACACAGCAUCGUCUUCAACAGUAGCAGAUGGGGCACAAAAUUUGAAGGAUUUUUCAUAGAUCUUAAACAAGAUACCCUGUGCCUGAAAACCAGUCACCCAUACUAUCAUCAAAUUCAAGGCCAGCUACACAUAUGUAACAAAACAUUCUGCGACUUAAUUAUGUGGACAAGAGUAGACUGCAUUGUGAUUAGAAUAGUAAAAGACAUUGAAUGGACAGCAAAUGUUCCAAAGCUGAUAGAUUUCUACAUUAACAUUUUCAUUCCAGCACUGAUGGAAAACUGAGUUCUAGUUUGAACUUCUUGACACUUAGUUUUGUACCUCUAGAAUUUUCUAACAAUGGAAAAUGGGUAAUCAUGUUAAAUGUGUUGAAUGUUCCUAAGUCUCAUAAAUGUAUGAUAUGAUAUGUCAUAAUCCAUCAUAAAACUUCUGGCUUAUAAGACUAUUUUAAAUAGCAAUGAUGAUUAAUAAAAUCUAUGUACUACAUAAAAAAAGAAUAUCAAAAUUUAGAAUCAUUUUAUUAAUGAAUUGAAGAUGUUAUUCUCAAAGUGAAAAUGUAACAUUUUUGUCUUUCUUAAUAGAUAAAUUGUUGAAAACAUGAA
Molecule: long non-coding RNA, 873 nt
Organism: Saccostrea cuccullata (small rock oyster)
Lineage: Eukaryota; Metazoa; Mollusca; Bivalvia; Ostreida; Ostreidae
Exons: 3
Source: RefSeq, a predicted model, not a curated record